Molecule: ribosomal RNA, 492 nt
Filed under: uncultured bacterium
Lineage: Bacteria
Description: partial 16S ribosomal RNA
Rfam family: Bacterial small subunit ribosomal RNA
Source: RNAcentral
AGUGAACGCUGGCGGUAGGCCUAACACAUGCAAGUCGAACGGCAGCACAGUAAGAGCUUGCUCUUACGGGUGGCGAGUGGCGGACGGGUGAGGAAUACAUCGGAAUCUACUUUUUCGUGGGGGAUAACGUAGGGAAACUUACGCUAAUACCGCAUACGACCUACGGGUGAAAGCAGGGGAUCUUCGGACCUUGCGCGAUUGAAUGGGCCGAUGUUGGAUUAGCUAGUUGGCGGGGUAAAGGCCCACCAAGGCGACGAUCCGUAGCUGGUCUGAGAGGAUGAUCAGCCACACUGGAACUGAGACACGGUCCAGACUCCUACGGGAGGCAGCAGUGGGGAAUAUUGGACAAUGGGCGCAAGCCUGAUCCAGCCAUACCGCGUGGGUGAAGAAGGCCUUCGGGUUGUAAAGCCCUUUUGUUGGGAAAGAAAAGCAGCAGGUUAAUACCCCGCUGUUCUGACGGUACCCAAAGAAUAAGCACCGGCUAACUUCGUG